GACGAACGCUGGCGGCGUGCCUAAUACAUGCAAGUCGAGCGAAGUUUUUCUGGUGCUUGCACCGGAAAAACUUAGCGGCGAACGGGUGAGUAACACGUAAAGAACCUGCCUCAUAGACUGGGACAACUAUUGGAAACGAUAGCUAAUACCGGAUAACAGCAUUAACUGCAUGGUUGAUGUUUAAAAGUUGGUUUUGCUAACACUAUGAGAUGGCUUUGCGGUGCAUUAGCUAGUUGGUGGGGUAAAGGCCUACCAAGGCGACGAUGCAUAGCCGACCUGAGAGGGUGAUCGGCCACACUGGGACUGAGACACGGCCCAGACCCCUACGGGAGGCAGCAGUAGGGAAUCUUCCGCAAUGGGCGAAAGCCUGACGGAGCAACGCCGCGUGAGUGAAGAAGGAUUUCGGUUCGUAAAGCUCUGUUGUUAGGGAAGAAUGAUUGUGUAGUAACGAUACACAGUAGAGACGGUACCUAACCAGAAAGCCACGGCUAACUACGUG
RNAcentral lists this ribosomal RNA (499 nucleotides) under uncultured bacterium. Its description in RNAcentral is "partial 16S ribosomal RNA". It matches the Rfam family "Bacterial small subunit ribosomal RNA", at positions 28 to 507 of the family's 1533-position model. The record is from RNAcentral.